UCUCCGUUGGUGAACCAGCGGAGGGAUCAUUAUCGAGUUUAUAACUCCCAAACCCUAUGUGAACUUACCACUUGUUGCUUCGGCGCGCGCUUCGGUGCCGCCGAGGACACUUAAACUCUUUGUUUUUAUAAGCAUUUCUGAGUGGCCGAAAGGCAAAAUACAAAUGAAUCAAAACUUUCAACAACGGAUCUCAUGGUUCUG
RNAcentral lists this unclassified non-coding RNA (201 nucleotides) under plant metagenome. Its description in RNAcentral is "partial contains small subunit ribosomal RNA, internal transcribed spacer 1, and 5.8S ribosomal RNA". The record is from RNAcentral.